This is a long non-coding RNA of Clupea harengus (Atlantic herring), 289 nucleotides long. NCBI's taxonomy places the organism in Eukaryota, Metazoa, Chordata, Actinopteri, Clupeiformes, Clupeidae. The record is from Ensembl.
GUUUGAAGAGAGGCUGUGGGUUUGAAGAGAGACUGUGGGUUUAAAGGUUUGAAGAGAGGCUGUGGGUUUAAAGGUUUGAAGAGAGGCUGUGGGUUUGAAGAGAGGCUGUGGGUUUAAAGGUGUGAAGAGAGGCUGUGGGUUUAAAGGUUUGAAGAGAGGCUGUGGGUUUAAAGGUUUGAAGAGAGGCUGUGGGUUUAAAGGUUUGAAGAGAGGCUGUGGGUUUGAAGAGAGGCUGUGGGUUUGAAGAGAGGCUGUGGGUUUAAAGGUUUGAAGAGAGGCUGUGGGUUUA